GCCCUAUGGGUCGUAAACUCCUUUUGUGGGGGAAGAAUGUUUCGCUACAGGCGAACAUGACGGUACCCCAUGAAUAAGCACCGGCUAACUACGUGCCAGCAGCCGCGGUAAUACGUAGGGUGCGAGCGUUGUCCGGAUUCAUUGGGUGUAAAGGGUCCGCAGGUGGGUUGGUAAGUCGUUGGUGAAAUUCUAGGGCUUAACCCUGGGACUGCCGACGAUACUGCCGAUCUUGAGUACGGAAGAGGAAGAUGGAAUUCCUGGUGUAGCGGUGAAAUGCGUAGAUAUCAGGAAGAACACCGGUGGCGAAGGCGGUCUUCUGGUCCGUUACUGACGCUCAGGGACGAAAGCGUGGGGAGCAAACAGGAUUAGAUACCCGAGUAGUCCA
This 385-nucleotide ribosomal RNA is filed under the name uncultured Chlorobiota bacterium. RNAcentral's name for it is "bacterial SSU rRNA". It matches the Rfam family "Bacterial small subunit ribosomal RNA", at positions 413 to 797 of the family's 1533-position model. The record is from RNAcentral. Lineage: Bacteria; Pseudomonadati; Chlorobiota.